UACGAAGGGGGGCUAGCGUUGCUCGGAAUUACUGGGCGUAAAGCGCGUGUAGGCGGCUGCGCAAGUCGGAUGUGAAAUCCCGUGGCUCAACCACGGAAGUGCACCCGAAACUGCGUAGCUGGAGUCUCGGAGAGGAAGGUGGAAUGCUUGGUGUAGAGGUGAAAUUCGUAGAUAUCAAGCGGAACACCGGUGGCGAAGGCGGCCUUCUGGACGAUGACUGACGCUGAGACGCGAAAGCGUGGGGGAGCAAACAGGG
This 256-nucleotide ribosomal RNA is filed under the name uncultured bacterium. Its description in RNAcentral is "partial 16S ribosomal RNA". It matches the Rfam family "Bacterial small subunit ribosomal RNA", at positions 524 to 777 of the family's 1533-position model. The record is from RNAcentral.